AUUCAAUGCAGGGCAAGGGAGAGCAUCGAAACAUGAAAUGUUCCAAUGCUCAUAUCAGAAGGCCUGCCUGGGUGAAAACACGGUUAUGUCCGUGUUCAGCUCUGAACCUGGACAACCCCUUUAGCCUGGAUAACCCCUUCA
Long non-coding RNA from Bufo bufo (common toad), 141 nucleotides. RefSeq lists it as uncharacterized. NCBI's taxonomy places the organism in Eukaryota, Metazoa, Chordata, Amphibia, Anura, Bufonidae. The transcript is spliced from 3 exons. The record is from RefSeq and is a predicted model, not a curated record.